Molecule: ribosomal RNA, 484 nt
Filed under: uncultured bacterium
Lineage: Bacteria
Description: partial 16S ribosomal RNA
Rfam family: Bacterial small subunit ribosomal RNA
Source: RNAcentral
AUUGAACGCUGGCGGCAGGCCUAACACAUGCAAGUCGAGCGGAUGAAGGGAGCUUGCUCCUGGAUUCAGCGGCGGACGGGUGAGUAAUGCCUAGGAAUCUGCCUGGUAGUGGGGGAUAACGUCCGGAAACGGGCGCUAAUACCGCAUACGUCCUGAGGGAGAAAGUGGGGGAUCUUCGGACCUCACGCUAUCAGAUGAGCCUAGGUCGGAUUAGCUAGUUAGUGGGGUAAAGGCCUACCAAGGCGACGAUCCGUAACUGGUCUGAGAGGAUGAUCAGUCACACUGGAACUGAGACACGGUCCAGACUCCUACGGGAGGCAGCAGUGGGGAAUAUUGGACAAUGGGCGAAAGCCUGAUCCAGCCAUGCCGCGUGUGUGAAGAAGGCCUUCGGAUUGUAAAGCACUUUAAGUAGGGAAGAAGGGCAGUAAGUGAAUACCUUGCUGUUUUGACGUUACCAACAGAAUAAGCACCGGCUAACUUCGUG